AGUGAACGCUGGCGGUAGGCCUAACACAUGCAAGUCGAACGGCAGCACAGGAGAGCUUGCUCUCUGGGUGGCGAGUGGCGGACGGGUUAGGAAUACAUCGGAAUCUACUCUGUCGUGGGGGAUAACGUAGGGAAACUUACGCUAAUACCGCAUACGACCUACGGGUGAAAGCAGGGGACCUUCGGGCCUUGCGCGAUUGAAUGAGCCGAUGUCGGAUUAACUAGUUGGCGGGGGAAAGGCCCACCAAGGCGACGAUCCGUAGCUGGUCUGAGAGGAUGAUCCGCCACACUGGAACUGAGACACGGUCCAGACUCCUACGGGAGGCAGCAGUGGGGAAUAUUGGACAAUGGGCGCAAGCCUGAUCCAGCCAUACCGCGUGGGUGAAGAAGGCCUUCGGGUUGUAAAGCCCUUUUGUUGGGAAAGAAAUCCAGCUGGCUAAUACCCGGUUGGGAUGACGGUACCCAAAGAAUAAGCACCGGCUAACUUCGUGCCAGCCGCCGCCGUAA
RNAcentral lists this ribosomal RNA (506 nucleotides) under uncultured bacterium. RNAcentral describes it as "partial 16S ribosomal RNA". It matches the Rfam family "Bacterial small subunit ribosomal RNA", at positions 29 to 523 of the family's 1533-position model. The record is from RNAcentral.